This 274-nucleotide ribosomal RNA is filed under the name uncultured bacterium. RNAcentral's name for it is "partial 16S ribosomal RNA". It matches the Rfam family "Archaeal small subunit ribosomal RNA", at positions 473 to 747 of the family's 1478-position model. The record is from RNAcentral.
AAACCAGCACCUCAAGUGGUCAGGUUAAUUAUUUGGCCUAAAGCAUCCGUAGCCUGUUCUGUAAGUUUUCGGUUAAAUCCAUCAGCUCAACUAAUGGGCUGCCGAAAAUACUGUAGAACUAGGGAGUGGGAGAGGUAGACGGUAUUCGGUAGGAAGGGGUAAAAUCCUUUGAUCUAUUGAGGACCACCUGUGGCGAAGGCGGUCUACCAGAACACGUUCGACGGUGAGGGAUGAAAGCUGGGGGAGCAAACCGGAUUAGAAACCACAGUAGUCC